Molecule: transfer RNA, 64 nt
Filed under: Cymus sp.
Lineage: Eukaryota; Metazoa; Arthropoda; Insecta; Hemiptera; Cymidae
Description: tRNA-Cys
Source: RNAcentral
GGCUUUAUAGUCAAUAUUUAUGAUAUUAGAUUGCAAAUCUAAAGUAGUAUAAUUACUAAAGCUU